UACAGAGGGGGCGAGCGUUGUUCGGAAUUACUGGGCGUAAAGGGCGCGUAGGCGGCCUCUUAAGUCGAACGUGAAAUCCCCGGGCUCAACCCGGGAACUGCGUCCGAUACUGGGGGGCUUGAAUCCGGGAGAGGGAUGUGGAAUUCCAGGUGUAGCGGUGAAAUGCGCAGAUAUCAGGAAGAACACCCGUGGCUAAGGCGGCUCUCUAGUACGGUACUGACGCUGAGACGCGAAAGCGUGGGGAGCGAACAGG
RNAcentral lists this ribosomal RNA (253 nucleotides) under uncultured bacterium. RNAcentral describes it as "partial 16S ribosomal RNA". It matches the Rfam family "Bacterial small subunit ribosomal RNA", at positions 524 to 776 of the family's 1533-position model. The record is from RNAcentral.